AGGGAUGCAGCUCAGUGGUACAGUGCUUGCUUAGCAUGUGUGAGGCCCUGGGUUCCAUCCCCAGCACCCCCA
RNAcentral lists this transfer RNA (72 nucleotides) under Heterocephalus glaber (naked mole-rat). It matches the Rfam family "tRNA". Rfam says of the family: Transfer RNA (tRNA) molecules are approximately 80 nucleotides in length. Their secondary structure includes four short double-helical elements and three loops (D, anti-codon, and T loops). Further hydrogen bonds mediate the characteristic L-shaped molecular structure. tRNAs have two regions of fundamental functional importance: the anti-codon, which is responsible for specific mRNA codon recognition, and the 3' end, to which the tRNAs corresponding amino acid is attached (by aminoacyl-tRNA synthetases). tRNAs cope with the degeneracy of the genetic code in two manners: having more than one tRNA (with a specific anti-codon) for a particular amino acid; and 'wobble' base-pairing, i.e. permitting non-standard base-pairing at the 3rd anti-codon position. Lineage: Eukaryota; Metazoa; Chordata; Mammalia; Rodentia; Bathyergidae. The record is from Rfam by way of RNAcentral.